UGAGCAGCUUUUCCAAAUCAAAACCUGUGAGUAAAAGUAGCUUCCGCCUCAAAAUUCCUUUUUUAUACCCAACACGCAACUUUUUCAAGUCCCUUCUCAUGACCUUUUGUAAAUUAGUCUUAUCAAGCUUCUGUAUUAAUCUUAACACUCCAAAAUUUCUGUAACCUUCCAAACCCAUAGAACUUGGCUAACCUCUAAACCACCACGCUCGCAUACGCGAUUAGCUCUCCCAGGGUCAGUUGGUUGUUUGUUACCGGUACAAACUCUACAGGCUAGACGCUUAACAACAUCAACAUCCUCAAACUCCUAGAAAGCCACUAACCCGUCCAAAUGAAUUUUGUCAGUCAUCCUCUCUC
Arabidopsis thaliana (thale cress) is the source of this 356-nucleotide long non-coding RNA. RefSeq annotates it as other RNA. Lineage: Eukaryota; Viridiplantae; Streptophyta; Magnoliopsida; Brassicales; Brassicaceae. The transcript has a single exon. The record is from RefSeq.